GAUGAACGCUGGCGGCGUGCCUAAUACAUGCAAGUCGAACGAAACUUCUUUAUCACCGAGUGCUUGCACUCACCGAUAAAGAGUUGAGUGGCGAACGGGUGAGGAACACGUGGGCAACCUGCCCAAAAGAGGGGGAUAACACUUGGAAACAGGUGCUAAUACCGCAUAACCAUAGUUACCGCAUGGUAACUAUGUAAAAGGUGGCUAUACUACCGCUUUUGGAUGGGCCCGCGGCGCAUUAGCUAGUUGGUAGGGUAAAGGCUUACCAAGGCAAUGAUGCGUAGCCGAAUUGAGAGGUUGAUCGGCCACAUUGGGACUGAGACACGGCCCAAACUCCUACGGGAGGCAGCAGUAGGGAAUCUUCCACAAUGGGCGAAAGCCUGAUGGAGCAACGCCGCGUGGGUGAAGAAGGUCUUCGGAUCGUAAAACCCUGUUGUUAGAGAAGAAAGUGCGUGAGAGUAACUGUUCACGUUUCGACGGUAUCUAACCAGAAAGCCACGGCUAACUACGUG
RNAcentral lists this ribosomal RNA (512 nucleotides) under uncultured bacterium. RNAcentral's name for it is "partial 16S ribosomal RNA". It matches the Rfam family "Bacterial small subunit ribosomal RNA", at positions 28 to 507 of the family's 1533-position model. The record is from RNAcentral.